Molecule: long non-coding RNA, 448 nt
Organism: Sinocyclocheilus anshuiensis
Lineage: Eukaryota; Metazoa; Chordata; Actinopteri; Cypriniformes; Cyprinidae
Source: Ensembl
AAAAGUCAAGAAUGGGCGCGGUUUGAGCACGAAUCAGCCUGUCAUGCGCAGAAACGCAAGAAAACGUGUGCAGUUUGAUGAGAUUUUAGCGGGUUUUUAAAAAUUUAUCAGGAUUAAGCACAUUUCAGAAUUGAAUAAGAGGCCUUUUUGCGAGGUCUCACAGGAAGCUGAAUUUGGAUUGGAAUGACGAGGAAUUAUUUCACCCUGGCGUGCCUAAUCAUACAUGACUUUGAGGAGACGAGGCGCGCUACAAUCCCAGCACGUCGUAUUUGAAUAUGGACAGAAACAGAUCAGACAUUAGCAACUGCUAUUGAUCCUCAAAUAGGGGCCGAGCUGUCUGUUUUGAACGCCGCUGCCCGGUCGAUCCCAUCUGACCUACUGUUCACAAGGUAAAAAAAAAGAGAAAACAAAACAGGGAAGAUUCUGCUCAUAAUUGGGUUGCGGCAGC